Molecule: ribosomal RNA, 2927 nt
Filed under: Citrobacter freundii
Lineage: Bacteria; Pseudomonadati; Pseudomonadota; Gammaproteobacteria; Enterobacterales; Enterobacteriaceae
Description: 23S ribosomal RNA
Rfam family: Bacterial large subunit ribosomal RNA
Source: RNAcentral
GGGUUGUGAGGUUAAGCGACUAAGCGUACACGGUGGAUGCCCUGGCAGUCAGAGGCGAUGAAGGACGUGCUAAUCUGCGAUAAGCGUCGGUAAGGUGAUAUGAACCGUUAUAACCGGCGAUUUCCGAAUGGGGAAACCCAGUGUGAUUCGUCACACUAUCAUUACGUGAAUACAUAGCGUAAUGAAGCGAACCGGGGGAACUGAAACAUCUAAGUACCCCGAGGAAAAGAAAUCAACCGAGAUUCCCCCAGUAGCGGCGAGCGAACGGGGAGCAGCCCAGAGUCUGAAUCAGCUUGUGUGUUAGUGGAACGGUCUGGAAAGUCCGACGGUACAGGGUGAUAGUCCCGUACACCAAAAUGCACAGGUUGUGAACUCGAAGAGUAGGGCGGGACACGUGGUAUCCUGUCUGAAUAUGGGGGGACCAUCCUCCAAGGCUAAAUACUCCUGACUGACCGAUAGUGAACCAGUACCGUGAGGGAAAGGCGAAAAGAACCCCGGCGAGGGGAGUGAAAAAGAACCUGAAACCGUGUACGUACAAGCAGUGGGAGCCUCUUUAUGGGGUGACUGCGUACCUUUUGUAUAAUGGGUCAGCGACUUAUAUUCUGUAGCAAGGUUAACCGUAUAGGGGAGCCGAAGGGAAACCGAGUCUUAACUGGGCGUUAAGUUGCAGGGUAUAGACCCGAAACCCGGUGAUCUAGCCAUGGGCAGGUUGAAGGUUGGGUAACACUAACUGGAGGACCGAACCGACUAAUGUUGAAAAAUUAGCGGAUGACUUGUGGCUGGGGGUGAAAGGCCAAUCAAACCGGGAGAUAGCUGGUUCUCCCCGAAAGCUAUUUAGGUAGCGCCUCGUGAAUUCAUCUUCGGGGGUAGAGCACUGUUUCGGCUAGGGGGUCAUCCCGACUUACCAACCCGAUGCAAACUGCGAAUACCGAAGAAUGUUAUCACGGGAGACACACGGCGGGUGCUAACGUCCGUCGUGAAGAGGGAAACAACCCAGACCGCCAGCUAAGGUCCCAAAGUCAUGGUUAAGUGGGAAACGAUGUGGGAAGGCACAGACAGCCAGGAUGUUGGCUUAGAAGCAGCCAUCAUUUAAAGAAAGCGUAAUAGCUCACUGGUCGAGUCGGCCUGCGCGGAAGAUGUAACGGGGCUAAACCAUGCACCGAAGCUGCGGCAGCGACACUAUGUGUUGUUGGGUAGGGGAGCGUUCUGUAAGCCGUUGAAGGUGUACUGUGAGGUAUGCUGGAGGUAUCAGAAGUGCGAAUGCUGACAUAAGUAACGAUAAUGCGGGUGAAAAACCCGCACGCCGGAAGACCAAGGGUUCCUGUCCAACGUUAAUCGGGGCAGGGUGAGUCGACCCCUAAGGCGAGGCCGAAAGGCGUAGUCGAUGGGAAACAGGUUAAUAUUCCUGUACUUGGUGUUACUGCGAAGGGGGGACGGAGAAGGCUAUGUUAGCCGGGCGACGGUUGUCCCGGUUUAAGCAUGUAGGCGGAGGUUCCAGGUAAAUCCGGUACCUUUUAACGCUGAGGUGUGAUGACGAGGCACUACGGUGCUGAAGUAACAAAUGCCCUGCUUCCAGGAAAAGCCUCUAAGCAUCAGGUAACACGAAAUCGUACCCCAAACCGACACAGGUGGUCAGGUAGAGAAUACCAAGGCGCUUGAGAGAACUCGGGUGAAGGAACUAGGCAAAAUGGUGCCGUAACUUCGGGAGAAGGCACGCUGAUAUGUAGGUGAAGUGAUUUACUCAUGGAGCUGAAAUCAGUCGAAGAUACCAGCUGGCUGCAACUGUUUAUUAAAAACACAGCACUGUGCAAACACGAAAGUGGACGUAUACGGUGUGACGCCUGCCCGGUGCCGGAAGGUUAAUUGAUGGGGUUAUCCGUAAGGAGAAGCUCUUGAUCGAAGCCCCGGUAAACGGCGGCCGUAACUAUAACGGUCCUAAGGUAGCGAAAUUCCUUGUCGGGUAAGUUCCGACCUGCACGAAUGGCGUAAUGAUGGCCAGGCUGUCUCCACCCGAGACUCAGUGAAAUUGAACUCGCUGUGAAGAUGCAGUGUACCCGCGGCAAGACGGAAAGACCCCGUGAACCUUUACUAUAGCUUGACACUGAACACUGGUCCUUGAUGUGUAGGAUAGGUGGGAGGCUUUGAAGUGUGGACGCCAGUCUGCAUGGAGCCAUCCUUGAAAUACCACCCUUUAAUGGCUGGUGUUCUAACGUGGACCCGUAAUCCGGGUUGCGGACAGUGUCUGGUGGGUAGUUUGACUGGGGCGGUCUCCUCCUAAAGAGUAACGGAGGAGCACGAAGGUUAGCUAAUCCUGGUCGGACAUCAGGAGGUUAGUGCAAAGGCAUAAGCUAGCUUGACUGCGAGAGUGACGGCUCGAGCAGGUGCGAAAGCAGGUCUUAGUGAUCCGGUGGUUCUGAAUGGAAGGGCCAUCGCUCAACGGAUAAAAGGUACUCCGGGGAUAACAGGCUGAUACCGCCCAAGAGUUCAUAUCGACGGCGGUGUUUGGCACCUCGAUGUCGGCUCAUCACAUCCUGGGGCUGAAGUAGGUCCCAAGGGUAUGGCUGUUCGCCAUUUAAAGUGGUACGCGAGCUGGGUUUAGAACGUCGUGAGACAGUUCGGUCCCUAUCUGCCGUGGGCGCUGGAGAAUUGAGGGGGGCUGCUCCUAGUACGAGAGGACCGGAGUGGACGCAUCACUGGUGUUCGGGUUGUCAUGCCAAUGGCAUUGCCCGGUAGCUAAAUGCGGAAGAGAUAAGUGCUGAAAGCAUCUAAGCACGAAACUUGCCCCGAGAUGAGUUCUCCCUGAGACUAUAAGUCUCCUGAAGGAACGUUGAAGACGACGACGUUGAUAGGUCGGGUGUGUAAGCGUAGCGAUACGUUGAGCUAACCGAUACUAAUGAACCGUGAGGCUUAACCUUACAACGCCGAAG